CCUGGUUUAGGAGAUCUCGGGCUCAAGCCCAGGUUCUUGUGUUGAGCAAGCCCUCUGCCUACUGAACUAUAGAACCAGACCCUCUUUCCCAAAGCUGUUUUAUCUGCCCCUCUAGGUCCCUGAGGAGGAGUACAUCCCAAGAUUCUCCCAACACUCCCCACCCUCCGUCCUCCUAGGGUUCCCUGGAGACAAGGGCAACAGCCACAAACAAGGUUGGGGACACCUCGAUAUAUGGGGAGAAGUUGUAGAGAAAAAGACAUUGCUGUGCAGCUGAACUGGGAGUGGAGACUGUUCCUACACGCAGCAGAAGACAGCUUGGAGACCCAGAAGUGGUGAUGGCGAGGUACUGUUAGCCAAAGGCAAAUCUAGCAGAGAACCAGAUGCCAAAAAGCAGAAGCCUUGGCACCAAGACACCCGCAGCAGAGGCAGCACGGCUUGAGCACCCUGAAGUCUACCUUCUUCAUCUGCAUAGAUGGAGAAAGCAAGGUCUGAGGCCCGCAGCAAGCCCCUUCCCCCAAGCUCUCGCUGCCGCCUUCCAGGGAGCAGGUUGCUGGGGGCCAGGUCCCCUCCCCGAGGGCGGCUCAGCUGGGAGGGGCCAAACCUAUUUGUUCAACAGUGUGGAGACAUUAUUCACUCCUAGGAGGCGGGGGAAGUCCAGGAGAACUCUUAAAGCGGUCUGUUUCGGGUGUGAUGAGGUCACGGAAGGCUUCACUUCCCCAAGCUGACGGGAACUGGGUCUUUUUUUUGUUUUGUUUUGUUUUU
Apodemus sylvaticus (European woodmouse) is the source of this 762-nucleotide long non-coding RNA. RefSeq lists it as uncharacterized. The record is from RefSeq and is a predicted model, not a curated record. The transcript has 3 exons. Lineage: Eukaryota; Metazoa; Chordata; Mammalia; Rodentia; Muridae.